AAAUGCCCCGAUGCCAUGUUUCCUGCUCGCUGCAGGGGAGAGGGCAGGUGUGUUUAUAGAGUCUGUCUGAUCCCUCAGGAAUGGCUGUGUGAAAGCCCUUAAAGGAUUUAGCAGUGACAGAAGGCUGGAGGAAGGGGGAAGUGAUUCAGGUGUCCUGAAAAUAGUCUGGCAAUUGCCAGUUAGUCCAUAUAACCCAUCUGGCCAUGGAAACAUCAUUUAGAGAAUGUCUUCCUGCUCCCUCAUCAAAGUAUCCCGCCCCCCAGGGAUUCAUUUGAGAUUUUUAUUCUGUAGAUUUAUCAUUCAGUUAUUUGGUGAAAACAUGAAGUAGCUUGUUACCAGUACUGUGCUCAGCAGCACAGAUUCUGUUUGCCUUCAGGAUGCAUUUAGUAUAGAGCUAAAGCAGAAUGAAGGAAACAAACACAUAACCAAUCAAGCUCUUAUUAGCAAAUCUUAUUCUGCUAGGCUUAGUUUUGCUUUGUAUGGUGCCCCAGGACAGUGAUCCAUGCAGUAGAGGGGGCUUUUAUGCUAGGCAAGAAUCAGGACAGCGUGUACAAAGGAGCAUCUAUGAAUGCACCCAUCCUUGUGGCAUUAGGUACAGCCAUUCUCCCACACAGACACUCAACCUUAGAACCAGAAAGGCUGACAGUGUACACCCCUAAAUGCGUGAGCAGAGCCUCCCUGCCCUCCCAGCACCAUGGAGGCACUCCAUGCUGUACUCAGCCCCAGUCUGUGUGCCCUUGUCCAUGCAGCUGUCACUCAGACUAGGGCUCCUCCUCAUUAACAAGCUAAUCCAAUCUGCUUGCUACUCUCUGGUUGCCAUCUCAAUUACAAUUUUUCAGACACCAAUAACGAAGCAGCUUUGAGCCAAGGCUGAUUGCACUACAGCAGCAUGUAAUUUGAAAGCCAUUACAUUUCAUCUCUGUAACACUCUAGAAGCAGUAAUACAGCUGCUGAAAAAGCAACUUUAUUUCAAACCAGAUAAGAGCUUUGCAGAGAUCUCAUAUGCUGAUAUUUGAGCUAGCGAAUUCAAAAGCUUUUGUGAAAUAACGAUAAUAGAGCCACUUUAUUUCACACUUAAGAUACCUGCCUCAAUGCUAAGAUCUAGCAUCAGACAGAGUCUUGUUCUGUUUGGUGCUAACAUUUUAAUUUAGCUUUUCUCCAACAGCUGAUUUUGUUAGCCUUGAACUAAGCACCAACCCGUCAUGACUCGUAUGCAAAACAACAGGAAUGUGCCUUGCUCGUCCCACCCCUCAUGGAGGAGCCCCAGGUUUCAGCACUCUCAACAAGGCACUCAGAGGUGACUUGCCUGGAGAUGGCACGUUUCACUGACUGAUCCCCCCACCCAUCUGUUAUCAAUCCUAUCGGUGUGCUCUCUGAGCAGAGAUGGGAGCUGAAGCAGCGACAAUCACCGGUCCCUGCUGGAAAACCAGGUCAUGAUGUGAGGCCAGAGAAGGAGCUCUGAGAUGUCCUCCAUCCCAUCAGCACAGUAACAUCUAACCCUGUUCAACAGCUCAGCGAUGGCAGAAAACAACUAACUGCUGUCCUGUGGCAAGAAGGCCAGAGAUGGGGUGGGUUGCAGACAAGCAGGGGCAGGGCUCUCUCCAAAAGGAGUUUGUUCCUCUCCUCUCACAACAUGUGGAGCACAGCCAGCUCCCCACCACAGCCAUGCAGUGCUGCUUAGGAACAGCGUGUGCUGCCAUGGCAAAAAGAGCUCAGCAGGAGCUUCUUCCCUUUGUGCUAUGGCAGUGCAAGCAGCAGAAAUCAGAAUAAGCUCAGGUUAGGCCACGAUGUGGCAGACUGAAUUCCUCCAGGAAAGCAGCUGCUACAUUUUUAAAGCCAGUGCUUCAGCUUAUGAAAAUUAAACGCUCCAUACAGCUAGUAAAGCGGCGUAUAUACGAGAUGUGCUUGAGCCUGUCAAGGUGACCACGGGCUGGAGGCUACACAGAGAGGCUGAGCAAAGCUCCACAGACCCUCAUGAAGCUGCUGGGCCUCUGCUGCCCUGCUGGUGGGGCUGCGCAGCCAUAAGAGCCCCUGUAUUCCCUGGGCCUCCCUCAGAGCCCACUCUAUGCUCCAGCCUCUGCUCAAGCUGCACAAAAUAGAAGAAAACAAACUAAUGAAGCAUUAGGGUUAAACUCAGCUGCAAUUAAUGCUUAAUUACCACCCUGAAAACACUUGCUCUACUUUGCCAGGGCCUAGAAAGAUAAAACCAAUUAGCUUAAUCUUGUGUGAUAGAAACCUUAAACUGCCUCUGAUGACUUCUGGGAAGGAAUCCCGGGAGUACCUGGAGGAGCCCUGGAGCUGAGGGCCCAGGGCUGUCAUUAGCUGAGCACUUGGAUGCUCUUCCAAAGAGGCUGAAAAGAAAAGCCCUCCAGGAACUGCAGCAGAGAAUGACUCCCAUCCAAAACCAACAGAUCCUGGCAAGCAGCUACAUAGGUCUAUAGCAGGGCAAGCAUUCCACCACUGCAUGGGAGGACUCUUACAUGUGAGCCUGUGCUUCAGCUGCAGCAGAGCCAACCAUUUAAUUAUAAUGGGAGAGGCUGCAGGGAUUAACCAAGAAAGCUGAGCUGACCGCUGUGAGUUCAGCUUCUACUUUUUUUUUUUUUUGCUCAGCUUUGAACACAGUAACUAAAGAAGAGCACACAGGCAGAGAAAUCUGUGCAGCAGCAAUCCUGGCUAACUUCUCUUCUGCAAUAAGAAGUGAGUCUUCCUAGGGAAACUGAAGGAAUUGCGCUCUAAAAGAAUACCACUGUCAGGUCUGUCAGACAUCUCUACCUCUGGAGUCCCACCACUCAGGGAUGAAUUAAGCUGAGAUGGCUGAAGUAGUCACCCUGCCCUCCACCUCCUGUCUGCUUGGUUCCUCCAUUUCUGUAGCAAGAGCAGACAAAUGACACCUCUAUUUGCUCCCAAACCACUGCAGUUCACAGCCCGGCAUGGCUCUCAUUGUGAGCUGCCCCAUGACGUCCACCCAGCCCUCAGACUGGGAGCUGCAGCAGUGCAGCAGAGGCAGAUCUCUGCUCCUUUGAUUUACCAGAGUCUGAAGGACUCUUAACUUCCACUCAUCUGGAUAUAAACUGAUGUCAUGUCAUGCUUCAGCUCCUGGCUGAUAUUUGGCCAGUUGAUAUGAUUUACUGUGUGGGUUGGACUGAACUUUCUCACUAGAAUACUGUCAUGGCAAAAUGCUGAGUCUAUGUUUAAGAGCACAAGAGCAGUAAGAAGAAUUAGGAUGAGGGUGAGACUGGAGUGAGAACCUGGUUCUUGUGCCAAGAACUCAGGCCUUUCAGAUGUGUCCUGUGCUAAGAUUUAUAAAUGUUUCCAUUGGCAUACUAGACACUGGGGUAGGCUUCUCAAUUACAUUAAGCCUAAGAAAUAUGGCAGUUAACAGAAGAAACGAGAUUCCUGCCUCCUGUUUGUUCAUCCUAGUGCUUGGAUGGGCCCAGCACCAGUAGCCCGUUCCCUUAUGAAAUGAUUAAAAUGAAUAAGCAGCUCGAUGUCUGGCUGUUUUUGAAGUGUUAAUUCCUGCUCAGGUCUCAGACAGGCCUUCCAGACAGCCCUGAAAUUUCUAGGCUUUGUAAAAUCCUAAGUGCAAAUUCCAGAGAAGCUGACUUUCUGCUUUGGAGGUAAUUAAGUGGAGUGACUGGGGCACUGCUGGUAGCCUGGUGUCUGUGGACACCUCUCCUGAAGGCUCUUUGGACCGUUCAGAUAGCAGCACUUCACUGGUGCUGCUGCAGGCAGAUUCCAGCUGGCCUUCUUCAGGCGGUGUUAGUGCUGGGAGCUGGGGAAAGCACGCAGGAGAUGUUGCAGUGUUAGCCCUCCACAUAAAGCCAUUCUUUCCACGGUCUCACAGAGCAAGAUUUUGUGUGUGUUUUACAGAGCUCAUCCCUACCCUGAGGCCAUGCCCAGAAGCAUUGUUAGUGAAGCUUUCCUGGCACUGUUGUUCCAAUGUUGCCAGUGCUCCAAAUCUCCAAACUUCAGUGAGAGCCUUCACCUGGCUAAGGGAGGAACUCGCUCAUUUAUUUCCCAUCUAAUAGGCAGCCAGGAGCAAAGCAUCCAGGGAGAAGGUGACCCUGCUGAAUCAUGGAGCUAUCUGGACCAUCAAGAACUUCAUGUUCUUUCCAUUAGCUGCCGUUUGAGUUCUGCAGGAAGAAAAGUCUUGUGUUGUAGAUAAGUUCCUUAGAGUGCUGAGAAAGCUCAAAGAUCUGCAGAUGAAUCCACUGCAGCAGGAAGCCAGUGCUGGCAUCCUGGCUUUGAAUGCAGGAGCCCCAGCGGGUGCUGCCAGGCACCGGCCCUGUGUGGCAUGGGCCAGCAGCAGCAGGUGUGGAUGCUGCUCAGGAUGCUGCCCACGAGCCAUGAGCACCUGGCUGUGCUGUGCAGGGAGCUGGGCUCUCACAGCCACCACCUGGAACCUGAUCUGCCUGUCAGAGCACAGUGUGCUCAUUCAAGUGGCAAGCUAAUUUCAUCACCUCCCCUGUCAGGGCAAGAGGAGGUAGAGAUUAAUUUGAACUCAAAGGAUCAUAAAAUAACAUGGCAGCAGUAUGCAACUGAUAAUCCACGGGAGGAAUUGCAAAUGUGAAGUUGUCUUGCUCUACAUAAUGGGGAGCUAUGACCAGCAACUUCUCUGCUCCACCUCUUGCAUUUGCAUUUCCUCCAGUGGGAGCACAGAAUGUGAUAAGACCAGUCCUGAAGUCUGCAAGAGAAUCCCACCUUGGCUCCCUGGCAUAAUUCAUGUGCAGCUGGCAAAAGAGCCCAGCACAAAACCCAGGACAGUAAGGAGCAGCCAAGGAGUGCACUUCUCAAGUACAGCUGCUACUUCUUUCACCCUCUGUCUCAUCUCACUCACAGCACAGCUCAGUCAGUGCUAAGUCCCUCUCAUUUUUUCCCUGAGGCAAAAACCUUUAAUCACAGACUGCAGACCAGCGUGAGAGGCAGGAGAGGAAGGCAGCUGCAGAGCCUGUAUUAGUUUACUAUUGAGCAACUAGAGCAACCAGCUCUGUCAAAGGCUGGGAAAAACGCAGGGCUGGGACUCCUCAUCCUCCUCCCUGCUCCCUUUUGGAGCCUGGGCCGCCCUGUGCCCAGCUGGCUGCCAGCUCUGCCUGCUCCCAUGUCACAGGGCACAUAGGGCAGCAGAGGAAAUGUUGUGCUAGGGCCUGUACUGUGCCUCUUUUCUCUUCUGUUCCAAUAGAGAAUUCCAAUUGAACACUGGAGCGCACAAAGGAUGAAAGCUUCAGCAGAACAUGCCCUUGCCAAUGCUUGGCAGAGCUGUGGCACCCUUGUAGCUCCUGCAGUGCAAACAGUCACUGCCACCUACAAUAGGAUGGUAGCAAAACACUAGUUUCCACCAAUAGCUUCUUCCAGUGUUUCCUCCCAGUUACAACUGGUGCUGCUGAGAGUCCAUGGGAAAAAACUCCAGUAAAGACCAGGCCUCUGCAUGCAAAUGAAUGCUACAUAAAUAACCCCCAUCUUCGCUCCUAAGUUGUGUACUCUGUGCACUAGAAUUCCCUUCAAAGACCUCCCAGUUCAUUCUUUAUGCUCUAAUUAAGGAUCAGUGCCAAUUAAGUAUCUUCAAUAGAGGAGCAUCUUCCGCUCAGCAGCCAGGAAGUGUCUGAAUGAGAUCCUGCUGUACAAUGUGCACAUGAAAAGGGAAGCCCUCCCUUCUUGGAAAGGGCUUCCAAGAUUAAAAAUCCAGUAUAGAAUACAAGAUGCCUGCUUUAAAAAUAUUUUGUGAUGAGAUUAAUUGAGGGCACACAUGAAUGCAGAGUGGUUUGUGACAUGCCUUGUACAUGCCUGUAUAGCACCCGAGUGUGCUACCGCAUUGCCAAGGGGCUGAGCUGCACCCUGUGCCAUCCAGGCAACAGCAGGUGUGAAAAGAGAGUGUAACAUUGUUUGGAAACUGGUAUUAUAACAGUGUCUGCUUUUUCUUGCAAGGGUUAAAGAUACUAAGAAGCCACUUUUCGGAUGAAAACUUAGUGCUGUUUACAUCAGUAUCUGCACUGCUCCAGUAGUCCACACCUUUGCUUCCUGUUGUUGUUCACCUGCUCUGUAAAUAACCAGGCAGCUCAGAUUACUGCCACGCUGCUCUGAGUGAGAGCUGUGCUGACGGUCUGAGCAGGCACAGGCAGGGGAAUGGCAUUUCUGAGCCUGGCUAAAGAUGAAUGCAUCAGUUCCCCAGCCACUUGCAGGCUACGUUUAAAAAGCGCUUUCUAAAUGAAAAUUAGAUGGUUAAACACUGUGGGGGGAAGGGCAGGGAAUGGGAUAAUCCCUUCAAAGCUUUAAAUGGAAGAUUUGCAGACCUGCCUCAGCUGAUGUGAGACACAUGAACAACCUCUGAUUUAAGAUGUAUGUAAAACUCCAGCCAGGCAAACAGCAGCACGGCCUUUUGGGGCACCCAUGUGAAGUGGUUGUGUGUGCAGCAGAUGUAGCCACACUACCAAUCACUGCUGAAUCUGGUGACCGCUCACGGGCUGCUCUGAAGAAUAAAGGAGUAGAGGAGGAAGAAAGCAGACUUGAUGAGAAACAGGAACUGCAAAACUGCAUUGGAGAAUGGGGAAAAAGCAACAAAUUAUUCUGUAAGCAGCAGAAUCCACAGUCUUGCCUAAUGGGAUUUACAUCCAUAACAUCUGCCAGGCCACUGAUGCUUCAGUAUAUAAUAACAAAAAGUAUCUAGAACUGGCAGUGAAUUGGAGUGCUUUUGUGGAGCAGAUUGUGUACAAGUCCAUUUUUGUACAAAGACUGGGCAAAACAAGUCUGAGGUUUGAGGAGCAACCCCACACGUGCUCGGCAGAGGCUGGUGUCUGUGUCUGGGCUUUGCUACCAGCGAUCCAUCUGCAAAGCACCGGGGGCAGGUCUGUCCUGAUAUGCCUUGGGAGUCCCUAGGGAGGCACCACAGUGCUGACUGCUGAGAUCUGAGCUGCACAGAGGAAGGGGGAGGCGGAGGGAAAUGCAGAGCAGCGCACUGCAACCAUAUCACUCCAGUGAGUGUAACCUUUAUUCUAGGUGAGGGUCAGUGCUUUUGGACUUACCCGAAUCCGUCUCAUGGCUGCCACAAUCUCCACGCGGCUGCUGGGCCUGGGAACGUCCAAGCUACCAAUGUACUGAAAGACAGAAGCUCAGCAGACAUGGAUUCCAUUCCUUGUCAGUGUUGGCCACCUGCACAGAGGGGCAGCAAACCCCAGAGCUGCUCCAGCAAAUGCAGCUCUUUGUGCCAGGGCUCGGGCGUGCGCUGCCUGCACAGUGCCAGCCCUGCUGAAGUUGCUCACUCGGUGGUGGUGCAACGCCAAAACACCUUGAAUGAUCGGCGUGAACUUUCUGACAGCGUCCCUAUUUCUGAACCCCCACACCGUGCGUGUAAGUGCAGACCUCCCGGCCACGCUUUUCACACAGGGAACAAACAGCUCGGAUGCCCGCUGGGUUCUGCCGAUGGCACCGGAACCGGGAUGGGUCCCUGCCCGGGGGUCUGCCCCGAUCGGUUCUCAAAGGAGGCACGCGAGGAAGCGUUAGACACCUUAGAAAAGAUUAGCAGGAAGAAAGGAAUGACCUGUUUGAUUGCGACCUUAGGCGUGAAGCUCUCGCGGUUGCCUGGCGCUUACCCCUAGGCCCGGCGCGCGGCUACAGGCUGGCUGCGCUCGGGCGC
This is a long non-coding RNA of Tympanuchus pallidicinctus (lesser prairie-chicken), 7627 nucleotides long. RefSeq lists it as uncharacterized. NCBI's taxonomy places the organism in Eukaryota, Metazoa, Chordata, Aves, Galliformes, Phasianidae. The record is from RefSeq and is a predicted model, not a curated record. The transcript has 3 exons.